GACAAAUGUCAAAGGCUGGAACAUAUACAUAGGAUUUAACAGAAACUUGAAUUUCCAUAAGUUAUCAUCUUUUUUUAAUAAAAACUUCUCUUUGGCAUACUUGGCACACAAUUUUCGUUUGGCACUCUUUCCAUGACCAAUUAUGGUCCUAACAUGAUAAAUUUUAAGGCAUUUUGCAAAGACCAGUAGAGGGAAGGAGAA
This 201-nucleotide unclassified non-coding RNA is filed under the name Hevea brasiliensis (rubber tree). The record is from RNAcentral. Lineage: Eukaryota; Viridiplantae; Streptophyta; Magnoliopsida; Malpighiales; Euphorbiaceae.